CCUACGGGUGGCAGCAGUCGAGAAUCAUUCACAAUGGGGGAAACCCUGAUGGUGCGACGCCGCGUAGGGGAAUGAAGGUCUUCGGAUUGUAAACCCCUGUCAUGUGGGAGCAAAUUAAAAAGAUAGUACCACAAGAGGAAGAGACGGCUAACUCUGUGCCAGCAGCCGCGGUAAUACAGAGGGCUCAAGCGUUGUUCGGAAUCACUGGGCGUAAGGCGUGCGUAGGCUGUUUCGUAAGUCGUGUGUGAAAGGCGCGGGCUCAACCCGCGGACGGCACAUGAUACUGCGAGACUAGAGUAAUGGAGGGGGAACCGGAAUUCUCGGUGUAGCAGUGAAAUGCGUAGAUAUCGAGAGGAACACUCGUGGCGAAGGCGGGUUCCUGGACAUUAACUGACGCUGAGGCACGAAGGCCAGGGGAGCGAAAGGGAUUAGAUACCCUAGUAGUC
Molecule: ribosomal RNA, 446 nt
Filed under: uncultured bacterium
Lineage: Bacteria
Description: partial 16S ribosomal RNA
Rfam family: Bacterial small subunit ribosomal RNA
Source: RNAcentral